Molecule: long non-coding RNA, 445 nt
Organism: Cucurbita maxima (winter squash)
Lineage: Eukaryota; Viridiplantae; Streptophyta; Magnoliopsida; Cucurbitales; Cucurbitaceae
Exons: 3
Source: RefSeq, a predicted model, not a curated record
AGAGGGUUUGGGAGAAUCGAGGAGAGACUUCAUCUAGAAUUGAGGUGAGUUCUUGAAUGUUUUUCAGAUCCGAGACUAACCUUUAUGAAUCGAGACCUAAUGUUUGAAUACGUUCAUCUAGGGAAGCUGACUUCGUGAAGACACUUAGCAGAAAUCCGAGAAUCGUCUGAGAUGGGACCUAAUCAACGAUAAUCAAUGUUUUUUGACACCUUACGAGCACAAAGACGCUAGCGAAAGGGCACGCGUCAAUCAAGUACGCGAGGCGUUGGGUCGAGGUGGGGCGUGAUCAGAGAGGCGAAUUGUCACAGAGGAAUGCAUGUCCUGGGGCGUCAGUUCAGUCUUUUCUUUUUAUAUUUUCACCUUUUUGUUUUUUGGAACUUUCAUUUGUUUGAAUCUUUGUAUUGAAACUUUCGGUUAUAGGAAUAAAUGAUUUCGCCUUUACACC